GAAAGCUGCUCCCCGCCCCCAGCUGCUGUAUUGGGUAGAAGGACAGAGAUUACAGGGGAAGGAGGCAGAGGGUGUGCCAGAUGGGCCGUUCACAGGCAAUGCGGCUGGACAUGCAAAGGCCUGUGGGUGAGCAAAGGCUGGGGGUGAGCAAAGGCCUGCGGGUGAGCAAAGGCUGGGGCCUUGACGGGCUGGGGGCUCUGGUCUCUGCAAUGAGGCUGCCCGUCUUUCAUGAUCACAGGCAGCUCCUGGUGCGGGGAUGGGCCGCAUUCCCAGGUGAGCCCCCGGGUCCCACGGCAGCUCCCAGCCAGGUGAGCAUGCGCCUCUGCAACCAGAACAGCGAUCCCGGCCACAGAGCAGGACUCACCUUCCUCGCAGUCACAGCUGGCCCCGCGUUCCGUUUCUGCCCCUGUCAGAGGGACCCAGUGGGGGCAGCUGGGUAGUUUCCCAUCGGUUUUUGUGGGUGUUUUUUUUCCAUCCAGGGAACCCGCCAAAGGCUCUCUGCAGUUCAGGGAUGUGGCCAGAAGGUGGCAGAAUUUUACUGCCGUGAAUGGGCACUAAGCCUCCCUCCCCAGUCAGGCCUGGCCACACCCCCUUACAAGGGGUGGCCCUUCCCUCUUUUUGCAUGAACUACAGGGGCCUUAUCCGAGGCUGUGGAAUGUGACCACAGGAUGACAGGCCCCCAGCUGAGUAGGGACAAGGGGCUUGCUGCUCACCCCAACCCAGCACGGGAGCUGCCGGGCCCCCUCCAUGUGGGCGCUGAGCCCUCGCUGUGGAUGGGAGGGUGGGCCUGCAGGAGAGGUUGGGUAGGCUCGGCAGGCUCCGUCCUGCAGCCUCUGAUGUGGGAGGGAUGGGGUUAUGGACAAGGCAGACCACCAGGUAAGGGUGGGGUGGAAAGGCCGUCCUCAGAAUCAGGUGCCUGAGGGCUGCAGCCUGCAGCGCCCUGACUUCUAUCAUCCUCCUUCUCCCACCCACAGAGCAAAGGCAUCUACUUGCCGUCUGAUUGACAACGCAGAGCUCUGAAGGGGGCCCAGGAAUAACUGCCCAGAGGGGGCGGGCAGAGGCGAGGCUGUGACCCCACCAAUGUGAAGGCAGGUGAAGGCAGCACAGGUCUGAAGGGAGCCCUCCGGCCUCAGGCUUCCGGUCAGCAGCCUGGGUGGUGAUUCCCCCUCACUGGGCUGCCCAGGACAAAGGUCGAUGCUGGCGAAAAGCAUCUGGUAA
Myotis daubentonii (Daubenton's bat) is the source of this 1218-nucleotide long non-coding RNA. RefSeq lists it as uncharacterized. NCBI's taxonomy places the organism in Eukaryota, Metazoa, Chordata, Mammalia, Chiroptera, Vespertilionidae. The record is from RefSeq and is a predicted model, not a curated record.